Molecule: ribosomal RNA, 457 nt
Filed under: uncultured bacterium
Lineage: Bacteria
Description: partial 16S ribosomal RNA
Rfam family: Bacterial small subunit ribosomal RNA
Source: RNAcentral
CCUACGGGAGGCAGCAGUGGGGAAUAUUGCACAAUGGGGGAAACCCUGAUGCAGCGACGCCGCGUGAGUGAAGAAGGAUUUCGGUAUGUAAAGCUCUAUCAGCAGGGAAGAAACCCACCCUACGGGGUGGCUGACGGUACCUGACUAAGAAGCACCGGCGGACUACGUGCCAGCAGCCGCGGUAAUACGGAGGGGGCAAGCGUUAUCCGGAUUUACUGGGUGUAAAGAGAGCGUAGGUGGCAAGGCAAGUCAGCUGUGAAAGCCCGGGGCCCAACCCCGGGAGUGCAUUUGAUACUGUGUGGCUAGAGUGCAGGAGAGGUAAGUGGAAUUCCUGGUGGAGCGGUGAAAUGCAUAGAUAUUAGGAGGAACGCCAGUGGCGAAGGCGGCUUACUGGACUGUAACUGACGCUGAGGCUCGAAAGCGUGGGGAGCAAACAGGAUUAGAUACCCCUGUAGUC